Molecule: long non-coding RNA, 1777 nt
Organism: Fundulus heteroclitus (mummichog)
Lineage: Eukaryota; Metazoa; Chordata; Actinopteri; Cyprinodontiformes; Fundulidae
Exons: 3
Source: RefSeq, a predicted model, not a curated record
CUUUCUCAUCUCUUUUCUUUUCCUGUUGUAAACACUAUUUUAGCCUUGGCAUAGUGCUUAGAUGAAAGUUACAUGCACAUUGUUUUGUUUGUGUAUUUUAGUUAAACUUAUUACUAUUAAGAAGGAAAUCUUAGUAGAUAUUACAUUUAAUUAUACAUAAUUUAGGGAUCAUUUGUCAAAGAAGUACCAUUUGAAGACCUUUUUUCUUGAAUUGGAAGUGGAAAUGUUAGUCAUGUAACACCUACUCCACCCUCCUACUUACAAAAGGAAAUGAAAUGUAAAUCUGUCUUCAGAAGAAACCGAGUCCUUUGUUGCUCCUGAUCUUAAUCUCGACUCACACCAUCAGAGUUAAAUAUGGAUCUGAAGGAAUGGCUCAAAAAGCUAACAGAAGAAUUUAAAAAAAGCCCACUGGCAGCUACUUUUUCUUUUGGAUUGAUCCAAGUGAUAUUUGAGAAGCUGGUGGAAGUGGAGUUUUCAUGCCCUUGUGACUCUGGGUACAACCAACUAUACACCUCAGCAUUUCUCUGGGUUCCAGCCGCUGUAGUUUUUUUGCUAUUAAUUAUGGUUAAAUUUCAGGAAAUACGUGAGUCAUGUAUAUCCGCCAUCCACGCCUUUAUUAACAUCUUGGUUUCAUCCAUAACAUGGCUGAUAAUAGUGUUUAUCGAUGGUCGUUAUUAUGCCUGCAUAGAGACCGACUGGUCAGGAAAGUAUGAAAUGAUUGAGAAUGCCGCACCCCAGAAAUGGUGUAAACCAGCCAACUCCUCUCAGGAGUUACUGGCCGAAACACAGAGAUGGUAUUCUAAAUCGCAGUUCAUUGGAAAUUUGAUGGCAUUUGUGUUGACCUUGCUGUAUCUGAUAUAUUGGGCUGGCUUCAAGUGCUGCUGCAAGGAACAAAAUCCGGAAACUCCAAGACAUGAAGAGAACGAGCCGAUUGAAACCUCAAGAUGUUGAAGAAAUUAGAAACAUUUGUAUGAUAUGCCAACUUUAAAAUAUUUGGUAUAGCUGUAAGUGUGUGCUUUACAUGUGAUAACAUUAACUGUUUGUUUAUAACUAUACAGCCCAAAAUUUGUCUUGCAGAAACACUUAUAGUAUUUCUGCUUUUUUUAUAAUUUUUUGUUAUAACUAUGAUAAUAAGGUUUUCGUUAUUUUUUUUAGAUGUUUUUCCUAUUAUGUAUUCAUAGGAAAAAGUACUAUUUUAAUUACUUGAUUGUAUAUUUUAAUUAAUAUAUAGGAUUUGUAUAUUUUAUCUGUACUCUUUCCAUAUUGUCCUAUUUUACAUAUGUAUGCAAGUCCAAAACAUAUAUAUUAUAUUCCAAGGAAGUGCAUUUUAUCAAACUACUGUUUGUCAUGCUCCCAUUUUUCUCCAAUAUGGUCAUUUAUCUUGCGAUAUUGUGGUGGUCAAACUAAAUGACUCAACACCGUUUCAUAAAAAGAAGAUAGAAAACUAUUAGUUAUGAAAAACUUUGUUAUUUUAAGAACAUGUGUGUAGCUGACGCAGAAAAAGGAUGUCUUAUUUUGUUAUUUUAUAGUGUUUACUAAGACUACAAGAUCUGUCAUGUUACUGACAUCUAUUAGCACAUUGGAGUACUGUGUUUAGAGCUGAACUUGCACUGAGCUCAUGUUCAAUUAAAACACUUGCUGCGAAAGACGGACAGAAGACAAAGACGGGUAGUUGGAGAUUUUGAUGCAAAAAACUGACAUAUGGUUGAAAAACUUCUCUUAAAUGUUUGGUCAGAAGUUUACGGAGCCCCUAAAGGGACAUGGAGGGGGGAAAAAA